CGCGCAGGCGGUGAUUUAAGCAGGAUGUGGAAGGCUACGGCUCAACCGUAGACAUGCACCCUGAACUGGGUCACUUGAGUAUUGGAGAGGCAGGCAGAAUUCCUGGUGUAGCGGUGAAAUGCGUAGAUAUCAGGAGGAAUACCGGAGGCGAAGGCGGCCUGCUGGACAAAUACUGACGCUGAGGCGCGAAAGCGUGGGAGCAAACA
This 206-nucleotide ribosomal RNA is filed under the name uncultured bacterium. RNAcentral describes it as "partial 16S ribosomal RNA". It matches the Rfam family "Bacterial small subunit ribosomal RNA", at positions 568 to 774 of the family's 1533-position model. The record is from RNAcentral.